UUCUUCAGGGCGGGGUGCGAUUCCCCACCGGUGGUACAGCCCACGAGCCUGCGGCCUUGCCGCGGCAUGAUUUGGUGAGAUUCCAAAGCCGACAGUACAGUCUGGAUGGAAGAAGA
Molecule: non-coding RNA, 116 nt
Filed under: Candidatus Pseudobutyricicoccus lothianensis
Lineage: Bacteria; Bacillati; Bacillota; Clostridia
Description: FMN riboswitch (RFN element)
Rfam family: FMN riboswitch aptamer (RFN element)
About the family: The RFN element is a highly conserved domain that is found frequently in the 5'-untranslated regions of prokaryotic mRNAs that encode for flavin mononucleotide (FMN) biosynthesis and transport proteins. This element is a metabolite-dependent riboswitch that directly binds FMN in the absence of proteins. In Bacillus subtilis, the riboswitch most likely controls gene expression by causing premature transcription termination within the 5' untranslated region of the ribDEAHT operon and precluding access to the ribosome-binding site of ypaA mRNA.
Source: RNAcentral